ACUAGUAGGUCAUACUAACUUGGGUACUUGUCACUAUUUGUUUUGUUGGAAUUGCUGAGGACAUGUCGGUGUCUAUUAAUUUCACUCUGUCUCUUGCAGUUAUAAUGACAGUCUGUUGUAGGUACCUGAGGUAUGUGGGUACACAUUUUCAUUCUCUCAUUCAGCAAAUAUGCACUGGAAUUAGGAGUCUCGCACUUUACUGGCCCCUGCAGCUGCAGAGAUGACUGGUCACAUUGUCAUGGAUGAAGGUAACGGCAGAGUAGCGAGGGGCUGUGAACCCCCACUGGAGCUGACUGCCCGCCUAGAUCCUGACUCUGCCACUCUCAAGUCCCGUGAUGUGUCUCUGUGCCUUCCUUUCCACAGGGGUACAUGGAUGGCUGGGGCUGCGGGGUAGCGUUGUGUGUGUGCAUCCCUGGGAACCAUGCCUGGCACUCAGCAGGUGCCAGGUGAUGGUACCUGUUGCUACCAUCAUUGUGACUUCACUGGCUGGGAACUAACACCAACUAAGACAGGAGUUCUUUUUAAAGAGCAUAGUGUUCAUCUUGUGGACUGGGACCUGUCAUGGCCUCCUUGGUGGGGUCAAAUCUGGUGUUGCCUGUGGGGUUCCCUGGGCCUCCUAGAGCUGGUUUCAGAAGGCCUGCAGGGCCAGAGGCAAGAUGGGCCCAGGUGGGGCAUGUCACAUCAUUAUAUUUUCUGCCUGUUACAGCAAAGGAUAUGCCACCACCCUCCUGUGUCUGAAGCUUGCCCAGCCAGCAGGUCCAGCUCCAGUGCUGCGUCAUGUGAAAGCCUUCCCCACUAUCAUGGCCUGCCCUGGAUUCUCAUGGAAUUAAAUGGACAAGCUGAUUCUAAAAUUCAUAUGGAACUGCAAGGGACACAGAAAGAACCAAAGCAGUCUUGGACAAGAACAAUGUUAGAAGACUCACUUCUCCAUUUCAAAACUUACUACAAAACUAUAGUAAUCGACCAGGUGCGGUGGCUCACGCCUGUAAUCCCAGCAUUUUGGGAGGCCAAGGUGGGCAGAUCACUUGAGGUCAGGAGUUUGAGACCAGCUUGGCCAACAUGGUGAAACCCCAUCUCAACUAAAAAGACAAAAAAAUUAGCUGGACAUGGUGGUGGGCGCCUAUAAUCUCAGCUACUCAGGAGGCUGAUGCAGAAGAAUGGCGUGAACCCGGGAGGCAGAGGUUGCAGUGAGCCAAGAUCAUGCCGUUGCACUCCAGCCUGGGCAACAGAGCGAGACUCUGUCUCAAAAAAAAAAAAAAAAAAAGUUCAUAACAGCACUAUUCACAAUAGCCCAAAAAUGGAAACAACACAAAUGACCACCAACAGGUAAAUGGAUAAACAGAAUAAAGGAAUAUUAUUUAGCGUCACAGAUAAUGAGGUGUUGAAUGAGGCUACAGCGCGGAUGAACCUGGAAACACUGUGCUAAGAGAAAGACGCCCGACACAAAAGCCCACAUACUGUGUGAUUCCAGUUUUAUGAAAUGUCCAGAAUAGGCAAAUCUACGGAGAGAAAGAUGCCAGACACAAAAGCCCACAUGCUGUGUGAUUCCGGUUCUAUGAAAUGUCCAGAACAGGCAAAUCCAUGGAGAGAAAGACGCCAGACACAAAAGCCCACAUGCUGUGUGAUUCCGGUUCUAUGAAAUGUCCAGAAUAGGAAAAUCUACGGAGAGAAAGAUGCCAGACACAAAAGCCCACAUGCUGUGUGAUUCCAGUUCUAUGAAAUGUCCAGAACAGGCAAAUCCACGAAGACAGAAAGUAGAUUGGUGGAUACCUAGGGCAUGGGGUGGGGAGAAGUGGAGAAUAACUGCCAACAGAUUUGUGGUUUCUCUUGGGGAAAUGGAAAUGUUCUGGAAUUACACCGUGGCGAUGCAUGUACAGCAUAGUGAAUAUACUAAAGCCACUGAAGUAUAAACUUUAAAGUGAUUAAUUUUAUGUUAUGUGAAUUGUAUCUCAAUAAAAAAUGUUUUAAAAAGGAAAGAAACAGCUGGGCAUGGUGGCUCAUGCCUAUAAUCCCAG
RNAcentral lists this long non-coding RNA (2015 nucleotides) under Homo sapiens (human). Its description in RNAcentral is "non-protein coding LINC00895:15". Lineage: Eukaryota; Metazoa; Chordata; Mammalia; Primates; Hominidae. The record is from RNAcentral.